This 290-nucleotide ribosomal RNA is filed under the name uncultured bacterium. RNAcentral's name for it is "partial 16S ribosomal RNA". It matches the Rfam family "Bacterial small subunit ribosomal RNA", at positions 773 to 1060 of the family's 1533-position model. The record is from RNAcentral.
GUGGAUUAGAUACCCUGGUAGUCCACGCCCUAAACGAUGUCAACUAGUUGUCGGGAGGGUAACCCUCUUGGUAACGCAGCUAACGCGUGAAGUUGACCGCCUGGGGAGUACGGUCGCAAGAUUAAAACUCAAAGGAAUUGACGGGGGCCCGCACAAGCGGUGGAUUAUGUGGAUUAAUUCGAUGCAACGCGAAAAACCUUACCUACCCUUGACAUGUACGGAACUUGCCAGAGAUGGCUUGGUGCUCGAAAGAGAACCGUAACACAGGUGCUGCACGGUCGUCGCCAACU